UUCGGGUUCUUCCCUAUUCCGCCGCCGUCGCGGUUUGCUUUCUGCACAGGAAGCGGUGUAAUGAACUGGCAGGGAAACGCCGUCCUCCGUAAAUGCACACAGUAGUCCUACUUGUAAGGACUUGGAAGACUGGAAACUACUCAAAGAUGUGUUCCACUAAAAUUCAGGGAGCAAGCCAAGAAGAAAGCAGAGCUCAAUAACUAGUGCAGUUCUACAGCUGACACAGAAGCGAGGAAAGCUGAUGGAUCUUAGAAGCAUACAUUAAAAAUUGUGAAAACUCUGGUGUCCUC
Long non-coding RNA from Chinchilla lanigera (long-tailed chinchilla), 290 nucleotides. RefSeq lists it as uncharacterized. The record is from RefSeq and is a predicted model, not a curated record. The transcript is spliced from 3 exons. Lineage: Eukaryota; Metazoa; Chordata; Mammalia; Rodentia; Chinchillidae.